RNAcentral lists this ribosomal RNA (465 nucleotides) under uncultured bacterium. RNAcentral's name for it is "bacterial SSU rRNA". It matches the Rfam family "Bacterial small subunit ribosomal RNA", at positions 338 to 795 of the family's 1533-position model. The record is from RNAcentral.
CCUACGGGUCGCACCAGUGGGGAAUAUUGCACAAUGGGCGCAAGCCUGAUGCAUCCAUGCCGCGUGUGUGAAGAAGGCCUUCGGGUUGUAAAGCACUUUCAGCGGGGAGGAAGGCGGUGAGGUUAAUAACCUCACCGAUUGACGUUACCCGCAGAAGAAGCACCGGCUAACUCCGUGCCAGCAGCCGCGGUAAUACGGAGGGUGCAAGCGUUAAUCGGAAUUACUGGGCGUAAAGCGCACGCAGGCGGUCUGUCAAGUCGGAUCUGAACUCCCCGGGCUCAACCUGGGAACUGCAUUCGAUACUGGCAGGCUAGAGUCUUGUAGAGGGGGGUUGAAUUCCAUGUGUAGCGGUGAAAUGCGUAGAGAUGUGGAGGAAUACCGGUGGCGAAGGCGGCCCCCGGGACAAAGACUGACGCUCAGGUGCGAAAGCGUGGGGAGCAAACAGGAUUAGAUACCCGCGUAGUC